RNAcentral lists this ribosomal RNA (460 nucleotides) under uncultured bacterium. Its description in RNAcentral is "partial 16S ribosomal RNA". It matches the Rfam family "Bacterial small subunit ribosomal RNA", at positions 338 to 795 of the family's 1533-position model. The record is from RNAcentral.
CCUACGGGGGGCAGCAGUGAGGAAUAUUGGUCAAUGGGCGCAAGCCUGAACCAGCCAAGUCGCGUGAGGGAUGACGGUCCUAUGGAUUGUAAACCUCUUUUGUCGGGGAGCAAGGCCCGCCACGUGUGGCGGGAAGGAGAGUACCCGAAGAAAAAGCAUCGGCUAACUCCGUGCCAGCAGCCGCGGUAAUACGGAGGAUGCGAGCGUUAUCCGGAUUUAUUGGGUUUAAAGGGUGCGUAGGCGGAAGGUUAAGUAGGCGGUAAAAUGCCGGUGCUCAAAACCGGCCUGCCGUUGAAACUGGUCUUCUUGAGUGAGCGAGAAGUAUGCGGAAUGCGUAGUGUAGCGGUGAAAUGCAUAGAUAUCACGCAGAACUCCGAUUGCGAAGGCAGCAUACCGGCGCUCAACUGACGCUGAGGCACGAAAGCGUGGGGAUCGAACAGGAUUAGAUACCCCGGUAGUC